Molecule: long non-coding RNA, 1377 nt
Filed under: Castor canadensis (American beaver)
Lineage: Eukaryota; Metazoa; Chordata; Mammalia; Rodentia; Castoridae
Description: lncRNA (ENSCCNG00000000035.1)
Source: RNAcentral
UUUCCAGGCUCCCCUCGGCGGGGCUGAAUGAUCAAAACUGGUGGUGAGAAUUUUUCCGAGCCGUUUCUAGGCAGCCCUCCCCCUCCACCAGCUCUGCCCCCCCUUCCUCCUUCUCCUCCCUUUUCCUCCCCCCCCACCCCCUUCCUCCAGCGUCUGGGCUCAGUGAUCAAAAUAGAGGAAGAUGGUUGUCGCCGCAAUCCAGGGCUUUGCAAGGCGCGGUUUAAUGGGCCGCCUGUCAGCUUCCUGCUAGCAGGAGGAGGUGACAAGCCAAGAGAGCCGGGAAGGGCCUGGAGCCCGGCGGGCUGCACCCUGCGCCCCGAGACGGGGCCCCCCACCUCCCCUGGGGUGCGCCUCUAGAAUGCGCGGUGGACAAGGGCUGCUUUUUCCCUUUUUCUUUCUUUUUUUUUUUUUCCUUCCUUUUAAAACAAAGCAGCAAUUCAUCCCCCUUUCCCCCAGCAGCGCGGUUGGGUGGGAUGGGCAGGCGAGAAGCCCGUUUCCCUUGCCCCAGCCUGCGGGUCCCUCCCCUGAAAUGCGGUGUCAGAUGGUUACUCGUUGAUAUUUUGGAGAGGCCGCGGCGGCGGGCAGCGCAAAAUCCUUUCUGGGUUGAGUCUCUGCGAGCUGCCCGCUGCAGAUCUUACCAGGCUGGGGGCGCAGGAAGCGCGCGGACCCUGCGAGAGGGAGAAGUCCUAGGGACCCCGCACCCCAUCCGCAGCCCCGCAGGCACCCGAGCCCGGCUAGGCUUACCUACCCUCGAAAGGACGCUUGGAAGUAUACAAAUCCUUGGCGAUCCUGCCUUGGAGAACAACCGUGGUGAUAAGGUUUUAAUUAAAACAGAAGCCCGCUCUUUUCACCCCGCUCUGCGGACUCAGCGUUUUAGCACUGCUCCUAUCUUUUUUUUUUUUUUUAAGAAAAAUCCAUUUUUAAGGGAACUUUACUGGAGGAGAGGAGGGAUGAGCUUAGUUAGCGCGCCCAUUCGUUCUAUUUUCUUCACUUUUAGAAAUAAAAGGGAGGGUUCGGGAACGAACUGGGGGUGUCUAAUUUAAUUCCAGGAUAAAUUUGAGGGAAAAAAAAAAAGUUCGGGCUCUGGAGAGCAGUUUCAAGUUGCCCUUCUGUAGCUCCUGCGCUGGUUUCUAGGCCGCCCUCUUUUGGAAGCUGGAGCUCCGCAGGGGGAGGAGGGAGAAGUGAGAAGGGGAGAAAAGGAACGAAAAUAGCCGGAGCCGAAGGGAACUAGCGGUGGUGGCCGCGCUUGGAGCUGGGCGCACGGGUCUCAGUGGCAACCUGGGCGGCGGGAGGCGCCCGGUGCAGCCCCGGGACAACAAGGAGCAAAGACCGAGAGAGGGGGGUGUUAGAGAAAGGAGGUAUUGUGUCUGUGUGCCU